AUGAACGCUGGCGGCGUGCCUAAUACAUGCCAGUCGAGCGCACGGACGAGAAGCUUGCUUCUCUGAUGUUAGCGGCGGACGGGUGAGUAACACGUGGAUAACCUACCUAUAAGACUGGGAUAACUUCGGGAAACCGGAGCUAAUACCGGAUGAUAUUUUGAACCGCAUGGUUCAAAAGUGAAAGACGGUCUUGCUGUCACUUAUAGAUGGAUCCGCGCUGCAUUAGCUAGUUGGUAAGGUAACGGCUUACCAAGGCAACGAUGCAUAGCCGACCUGAGAGGGUGAUCGGCCACACUGGAACUGAGACACGGUCCAGACUCCUACGGGAGGCAGCAGUAGGGAAUCUUCCGCAAUGGGCGAAAGCCUGACGGAGCAACGCCGCGUGAGUGAUGAAGGUCUUCGGAUCGUAAAACUCUGUUAUUAGGGAAGAACAUAUGUGUAAGUAACUGUGCACAUCUUGACGGUACCUAAUCAGAAAGCCACGGCUAACUACGUG
RNAcentral lists this ribosomal RNA (496 nucleotides) under uncultured bacterium. RNAcentral describes it as "partial 16S ribosomal RNA". It matches the Rfam family "Bacterial small subunit ribosomal RNA", at positions 29 to 507 of the family's 1533-position model. The record is from RNAcentral.